Long non-coding RNA from Chinchilla lanigera (long-tailed chinchilla), 2207 nucleotides. RefSeq lists it as uncharacterized. NCBI's taxonomy places the organism in Eukaryota, Metazoa, Chordata, Mammalia, Rodentia, Chinchillidae. The record is from RefSeq and is a predicted model, not a curated record. The transcript is spliced from 3 exons.
GUGAAAGAAACUGGUGCAUCGCUCAAGAAGCGCCGAGAGCGCUGCCCGCUUCCUUACACGCACACACAGUUAGAUGCCCGCUUUCUUCCGGAUGCUCUCCUGGGAAUAUCAUGGAAAAGGAGGCGAUGAUGUGGGAUGCAAAUUCCCAUGUUUUCAUCAGUGAUCAUUUCUAAAGGCAACUGUCCCCAAGUUUAAGGAAAGCUGUGAAGUAGUCUACAUGACACUAAAUGUCUGCUUGCUACAGGCUGCUUCCAGGAUGCACCCACUUCCUGCUGGGUUUCAAAUUCAAGACAAUCCUGUCCACAUGACCCUCUUCUGGAAAUCAACUGCUUAACACCUGCACGAGCCUUCUGAAACACUGGGUCUCUGGAAAACCCUCUGACGGCAUAAAGGGUAGCCUACAGGGUCUAUGAAAAGCUUUGCCUGAGGGGAACCCAAAGAGGAAAGUUGUAGCUGUGUAAUUUUGUGCCAGGCAGCACAAAGAUAAAUUCCUAUUUUUCCAAUCUAAGGAUGUAUUAUAGCCUGGAAAGAUAUAAUUUAAACUUUUGAAAGCAGCAGUGAUAAAAUCCUCCUCCUCUCUGUUCUAUUUUGUUUGCUCCUUUCCUCUGCGCUUUCAUCCUGUUACCAUGAGCCACUCCCUUUCUUUUGAUGUCACCUCUUUCCCUUCCUUCCGUCAGCUCAUCCAUCCUUACAUACAACCGGCCUACCCCUUCACUGGAUAUACACAUUGUGUUGCAUAUGUAAGUGUAAAACUUCAACACGAAUACGACUGCAAAGAAAAAUUAUUAGCUAAUCCUUUAAAGAUAAAUGCAAAAUACUGAGUUAAUGUAUACUCCAGUCUUAUAAAAGAACAACAAAUCAUGAAUGAUGAGGAUUUUACUCUGUAAUGAGCAGUCCACGUCAUUAACAAAAUGCUAACAAUCAACAGGUGAAAGAAAAACAGUACCUUAAACGGGAACCAGGGAAUAUUUUGCCCGUAUCUUGAUAAAAAUUUUAAGCAAUUUAAAAAUAUAGGAACAUUCACUCAUUUGUUAUGAAGUAUGGUUCCCCAAACUAAUAGAGAUGUAAUAUUAGAUGGCAAAACAUCGAAAUCCCCCCACUGAAAGAGAAGUAACUCAGAAGCUCAGGGUCACUUUGCAUCACUGCGUUAUAUUAGCAGUGAAAAAAGGCAGAGAGAAAACCAGUACGGAGUUGGAGAGACAAGAUAAAAUGCCGCUAUAAGAUCAUACGAUUUAGAAGUCCGAAAGAUAUGACAAAUAACAUACGAACCAAGAAAUUUGGUUAAGCUUGAUGCAUGAAGUCGAUUCUUUUCUUCUAAGCCAUAAAUAAUACAUAAAAAUGUGACAUAUAAAUGACUUUAUUUCACAUGCUCAACAAAACCUAAAAAGUAGCCAGGAAUAAGGAGGACAAGAAAAAUUUUUUGCAUACAUAUAAUUUGCAUAUGUAUGUAAUAUUUACAAAGGAAGACACAGAUAGAUACACACACAUGUCCCAAUAACAAAGGAUAAAUAAACAGAAUAAAAGGGAAGAUUUAUUCAACUGGGGACAGGAAAGUAUGCCUUUCUACCCUAUGUAGCUCUCCCCUGAUUUUAAUAAUCAACACAUCUUAUUAAAUUCAGUUUUUAUAGUAAGUUAUGGUCUGCCAAGUUCAUAAUUCUGAAUGCCAUACAAGGCUGAUCGUCUGCAAAAACAGCCUCAGAAAUGUUGAAAAAUGUGCGAAGGGAAAUCAAAAGCCAAGUGUAUAAGUGUACUACAAUGAGAAUAUGAAAAUCAUAGCAGUUCUUAAAGAGAAAAAAUACUUAUUAGGGUUUUUAAACUACCAUGGCCUAAAAAAAAGAGUGCAUCAAAAAUUACUAAAAAUAUUUGAGAAAACCAGGGGAAGAGACAAAAUAAAAUUGAAUACGUCAUCAAGAUGAAGCAAAAAUAAUAGAAUUGAUGGCAAAUUUAGUGGCAGGUACAGGCAAAAUCCUCCAAAAUAAAGUUCAAAUUGAAAAGGUGAUUGUUGCCGGUGGUAGUGACGGUAAGAAUAACUGUGUGGUUACUGAAGCAGUUCCCAUGUUCUGAUCUAAUAACUGAACUAUAGGGUGCCUCACACCCUCUAUUUAUUUUGUAUCUAUUGAGUGUUUCAGGUUUGCUCCUGGCCAGGAAAGCCACGGCGAAGCUCGCCAGGGCCAGGGAGCCCAGGUAUCCCAGGACACAGUAGAAGG